GGGUACCUCACCAGGUCCAGACAGCGUAAGGAUUGACAGGUUGAUUGUCCUUUCUUGAUUCUCUGGGUAGUGGUGCAUGGCCGUUCUUAGUUGGUGGAGUGAUUUGUCUGGUUAAUUCCGUUAACGAACGAGACCUUAACCUGCUAUUUAGUCGCUCGGUCCUUGUCCGUGCGCACUUCAUAGAGGGACUCUGCGGCGUCAAGCUGCGGUGAGGUUUAAGGCAAUAACAGGUCUGUGAUGCCCUUAGAUGUCCUGGGCUGCACGCGCGCUACACUGAUGCUUGCCUCGUGUUUACCCUCGGCCGAUAGGCCCUGGUAACCCCUAGUCUGCAUCGUGUUUGGGAUUGAUCUUUGCAAUUCUAGAUCAUGAACGAGGAAUGCCUAGUAUGCGCAAGUCAUCAGCUUGUGCAGAUUACGUCCCUGCCCUUUGUACACCACGCCCGUCGCUCCUACCGAU
This 456-nucleotide ribosomal RNA is filed under the name Babesia bovis. Its description in RNAcentral is "SSU rRNA". It matches the Rfam family "Eukaryotic small subunit ribosomal RNA", at positions 1208 to 1689 of the family's 1831-position model. Lineage: Eukaryota; Apicomplexa; Aconoidasida; Piroplasmida; Babesiidae. The record is from RNAcentral.